This is a long non-coding RNA of Pseudopipra pipra, 430 nucleotides long. RefSeq lists it as uncharacterized. NCBI's taxonomy places the organism in Eukaryota, Metazoa, Chordata, Aves, Passeriformes, Pipridae. The transcript has 2 exons. The record is from RefSeq and is a predicted model, not a curated record.
GGGAUCCAGGGGCAGCCUCAGCUUCCCUGUGCAGUGUGCUCUAAUAUCUCUCCACUGGCAUCCUGAAAAAUGUUGUCAGCGUGUUUUGUUGGACGACGAAUUGCCACGAGAGGAAAUACUUCAGAGGGGCUUCCCUCCAGAUAAGCCCUGAAUGUGCCAGGAGGUUUCAGCCGGGAGAAAGGAGCUGUGGAAGAAAAGCAGCCUAAAAAUAGCCAGCGGGGAUCAUCAGGUUUUCCAGCCAAGAAAAACCAGGAGGGAGAUGAGGGAAUCGGGUUCCAAUUCCUAAAGAUUUGGUGGGUGUAGGAAUGAUUUCUGUGUGUUUUCCAGUCCCUUUUGAUUCCUGGGAUGAUUUUAAAAUGAUGGCUAAAUUGGAGAUGUUGUUUUUGAGAGGAAAUGAUGCCAAAUAAAUGCAAAGUUUGGGGUCAGUUUU